AGCGAACGCUGGCGGCAGGCCUAACACAUGCAAGUCGAACGAACUCUUCGGAGUUAGUGGCGGACGGGUGAGUAACACGUGGGAACGUGCCUUUUGGUUCGGAAUAACUCAGGGAAACUUGUGCUAAUACCGAAUGUGCCCUUCGGGGGAAAGAUUUAUCGCCAUUAGAGCGGCCCGCGUCUGAUUAGCUAGUUGGUGAGGUAACGGCUCACCAAGGCGACGAUCAGUAGCUGGUCUGAGAGGAUGACCAGCCACACUGGGAAUGAGACACGGCCCAGACUCCUACGGGAGGCAGCAGUGGGGAAUCUUGCGCAAUGGGCGAAAGCCUGACGCAGCCAUGCCGCGUGAAUGAUGAAGGUCUUAGGAUUGUAAAAUUCUUUCACCGGGGACGAUAAUGACGGUACCCGGAGAAGAAGCCCCGGCUAACUUCGUG
This 433-nucleotide ribosomal RNA is filed under the name uncultured bacterium. Its description in RNAcentral is "partial 16S ribosomal RNA". It matches the Rfam family "Bacterial small subunit ribosomal RNA", at positions 29 to 507 of the family's 1533-position model. The record is from RNAcentral.